UACGGAGGGUGCAAGCGUUACUCGGAAUCACUGGGCGUAAAGGGCGCGUAGGCGGCCUAGCAAGUCUGGUGUGAAAGCCCAGGGCUCAACCCUGGAAGGGCCCUGGAAACUGUUAGGCUUGACUUCCGAAGAGGAGGGGGGAAUUCCCGGUGGAGCGGUGAAAUGCGUAGAUAUCGGGAGGAAUACCGGUGGCGAAGGCGCCCCUCUGGACGGAAACUGACGCUGAGGCGCGAAAGCGUGGGGAGCAAACAGG
RNAcentral lists this ribosomal RNA (253 nucleotides) under uncultured bacterium. RNAcentral's name for it is "partial 16S ribosomal RNA". It matches the Rfam family "Bacterial small subunit ribosomal RNA", at positions 524 to 776 of the family's 1533-position model. The record is from RNAcentral.